UACGUAGGGUCCGAGCGUUGUCCGGAAUUAUUGGGCGUAAAGGGCUCGUAGGCGGUUUGUCGCGUCGGGAGUGAAAACCAUGAGCUUAACUCAUGGCUUGCUUUCGAUACGGGCAGACUAGAGGCAUGCAGGGGAGAACGGAAUUCCUGGUGUAGCGGUGAAAUGCGCAGAUAUCAGGAGGAACACCGGUGGCGAAGGCGGUUCUCUGGGCAUGUCCUGACGCUGAGGAGCGAAAGUGUGGGGAGCGAACAGG
This 253-nucleotide non-coding RNA is filed under the name uncultured bacterium. RNAcentral describes it as "partial 16S ribosomal RNA". It matches the Rfam family "Bacterial small subunit ribosomal RNA", at positions 524 to 776 of the family's 1533-position model. RNAcentral also lists the same sequence under 1 other name. The record is from RNAcentral.